CGGGAGACCGUAACACAGGUGCUGCAUGGCUGUCGUCAGCUCGUGUCGUGAGAUGUUGGGUUAAGUCCCGCAACGAGCGCAACCCUUGUCAUUAGUUGCUACAUUCAGUUGGGCACUCUAAUGAGACUGCCGGUGACAAACCGGAGGAAGGUGGGGAUGACGUCAAGUCCUCAUGGCCCUUAUAGGUGGGGCUACACACGUCAUACAAUGGAUGGUACAAAGGGUCGCCAACCCGCGAGGGGGAGCCAAUCCCAUAAAGCCAUUCGUAGUCCGGAUCGCAGUCUGCAACUCGACUGCGUGAAGUCGGAAUCGCUAGUAAUCGUGGAUCAGAAUGUCACGGUGAAUACGUUCCCGGGUCUU
RNAcentral lists this ribosomal RNA (360 nucleotides) under uncultured Acidovorax sp. RNAcentral describes it as "bacterial SSU rRNA". It matches the Rfam family "Bacterial small subunit ribosomal RNA", at positions 1020 to 1382 of the family's 1533-position model. The record is from RNAcentral. Lineage: Bacteria; Pseudomonadati; Pseudomonadota; Betaproteobacteria; Burkholderiales; Comamonadaceae.